GCUUCACUGUCAUGACCGAGGGUACAUGGUGACCCAGGAUGAGCUGAACCAGACACUCGAGGAGUUCAAGGCGCAGUCUGAUGACAACCCAGUGAAGGAUGACCAAGGCGCACAGACCUCACCAUGCCGGUGGCCCACAAUGUCGACCCCACAGACCAGAUGUUUGUUUUUUCUCCAGAGGAGCCCAAGGUGGGCAUCAAGACCAUCAAGGUGUACUGCCAGCGCACGCAGGAGGAGAACAGGCACUGAUCGUGGUGCAGUAGGGCAGGAUACCCUCCGCCAAGCGGUCCAUUUGUGGACAUGGUCCCUAAGUAGGCACUGGAACAGUUUCUACAGAAGGAACUGCUCAUCAAUAUCGCAGAACAUGAGCUAGUCCCUGAGCAUGUAAUCAUGACCAAGGAGGUGACCGAACUGCUUGCUCGGUACAAGCUUCUUGAGAGCCAGCUGCCCAGAAUCCAGAUCCGGGGACCCUGUGACACAGUACUUUGGGAUCAAGCAAGGGCUGAUUGUGAAGAUCAUCUGCCCCAGUGAGACA
RNAcentral lists this long non-coding RNA (535 nucleotides) under Rattus norvegicus (Norway rat). RNAcentral describes it as "long non-coding RNA NONRATT006394". Lineage: Eukaryota; Metazoa; Chordata; Mammalia; Rodentia; Muridae. The record is from RNAcentral.